Long non-coding RNA from Phyllopteryx taeniolatus (common seadragon), 391 nucleotides. RefSeq lists it as uncharacterized. The transcript has 3 exons. Lineage: Eukaryota; Metazoa; Chordata; Actinopteri; Syngnathiformes; Syngnathidae. The record is from RefSeq and is a predicted model, not a curated record.
GGCUACAUGAAAAUCGUGCUAGAAGUUUUAACACUGUAAACUAGUGGUAUUAAUAUUAAUUCAUUAUAUCAAUGUAUUGAUUUAUAGUCCUACGAUCCAACUGGAUCGAUAUGUGCUUGGCGUUCCGGGUGUAAAUAUAGUGAUUUAAAUUGUUUUAAAAGUUAGUACUGUCGAGGCUACUUUCUUCAUCAUCAUCAUCAUCAUCUCUUUUCGUCUUCGUUUCCUUUUCUACGUCCCACAUCUAAUAACUACUUUAUGUAGUUGGACGAGACACCAUAUCGUCUCCCAGGCUUUGGAGGAGGAUGGUGAGGAAUGUUAAGGAACCAGGGGAAGCCAAGCAUCCACUCUCAUCACAAGGUGGGGGUGCAGGGGAGGGACUUGAACGCACCAC